CCUACGGGGGGCAGCAGUGAGGAAUAUUGGUCAAUGGGCGGAAGCCUGAACCAGCCAAGUAGCGUGCAGGAUGACGGCCCUACGGGUUGUAAACUGCUUUUAUACGGGAAUAACGCGCCUUACGUGUAGGGCUUUGCAUGUACCGUAUGAAUAAGGACCGGCUAAUUCCGUGCCAGCAGCCGCGGUAAUACGGAAGGUCCGGGCGUUAUCCGGCUUUUGUGGGUUUAAAGGGAGCGUAGGCCGCAUGUCAAGCGUGCUGUGAAAUGUCCGGGCUCAACCCGGGCCUUGCAGCGCGAACUGGCGUGCUUGAGUCCGCGGAAAGCAGGCGGAAUUCGUCGUGUAGCGGUGAAAUGCUUAGAUAUGGCGAAGAACCCCGAUUGCGAAGGCAGGUUGCUGCAGCGGAACUGACGCUGAUGCUCGAAAGCGCGGGUAUCGAACAGGAUUAGAUACCCGGGUAGUC
Molecule: ribosomal RNA, 460 nt
Filed under: uncultured bacterium
Lineage: Bacteria
Description: partial 16S ribosomal RNA
Rfam family: Bacterial small subunit ribosomal RNA
Source: RNAcentral